This 370-nucleotide unclassified non-coding RNA is filed under the name soil metagenome. RNAcentral's name for it is "partial contains 5.8S ribosomal RNA, internal transcribed spacer 2, and large subunit ribosomal RNA". The stretch from base 1 to 120 matches the Rfam family "5.8S ribosomal RNA", at positions 35 to 154 of the family's 154-position model. The record is from RNAcentral.
GAUGAAGAACGUAGCGAAGUGCGAUAAGUAAUGUGAAUUGCAGAAUUCCGUGAAUCAUCGAAUCUUUGAACGCAAAUUGCACUUUCUGGUAUUCCGGAAAGUAUGCCUGUUUGAGGGUCAGUUAAAUAAAAAUCGGUGUUGUUGCUGCUUUUCGUGGUGACGCGUCGGAAUUGGGUCGUCUUACCUUCGGUUAAGUGACUUAAAUUUUUUUUAUGGUUUUCGAACGUAUUUAAAUUUUUUUGUACGUUUGAGAUAUCGAAUGUUUAUUAGGUUCGGUCAUCCUCAUGACUCGCGCCUAUAAUUUUUCAUUAAAUGACCUCAAAUCAGGUAAGAAUACCCGCUGAACUUAAGCAUAUCAAUAAGCGGAGGA